This 106-nucleotide small nucleolar RNA is filed under the name Gossypium arboreum. Its description in RNAcentral is "Plant small nucleolar RNA R71". It matches the Rfam family "Plant small nucleolar RNA R71". Rfam says of the family: R71 is a member of the C/D box family of snoRNAs containing the C (UGAUGA) and D (CUGA) box motifs. Multiple nearly identical copies of this snoRNA have been identified in Arabidopsis, and it is thought to function as a 2'-O-ribose methylation guide for 18S ribosomal RNA. The record is from Rfam by way of RNAcentral. Lineage: Eukaryota; Viridiplantae; Streptophyta; Magnoliopsida; Malvales; Malvaceae.
AACUCAUGGUGAAGGCACCUUCUCAAUAAAUCCUUAUACCUCUCCAUGCAUCAUAUAAAGUUUCUAAGUCCAUUUGCACAAAGAAAGAGAUAUCAUUGCUCAACUU